This is a long non-coding RNA of Olea europaea var. sylvestris, 266 nucleotides long. RefSeq lists it as uncharacterized. The record is from RefSeq and is a predicted model, not a curated record. The transcript is spliced from 2 exons. NCBI's taxonomy places the organism in Eukaryota, Viridiplantae, Streptophyta, Magnoliopsida, Lamiales, Oleaceae.
CAAUUCGAGUAUUAAGUCAAACAUGUAGUUCUUCAGGUUGCGAGAGAAAUUGGAAUAUGGUUGAACAUAUUCAUUCUAAAAAGAGAAAUAGACUCGAGCACUAAAGACUUAAUGAUCUUGUUUAUGUUCACUACAAUUUACGAUUGCAACAACGGUUUGGCAUUUAUGGCAAUUGGGUGUUAGAGGAGAAGCCACCGAAUUUGGUCGAUGAUGAGUUGGAGACAUUUCGUCGUGAUUUGGGUGCAUGCUCUAUACAAAAUGAUAAA